CAAAAGUCAAGAGGUUUAAUAACUAAAUAUUUAUCUUUUUAUUUUAGAUGCAUUUUAGCUUAAUUUAGUUACAUUUCUAACAAAAAUUGGUGGAAUAGAGCUGGUAAAAACCACUGCAUAUGUUACGUUGCGAGGUUACGAAAUCAGACGAUAAGGAUACGAAUGUAGAUGAUGAUGUCGCACAAACAGGUGCAUGAUGAACAAGCGGUAGACGGUGUUCAAGUAAGAUUUUUGAUAAUGCAUAAACCAGAGAAAGCAGUGAUCCAAAAUAUUUGUUUAUGAGUUUAUCGAUUUUAGUAGUAAUCUUUGACUUAACAUUAAUGUAAAAUUUUAUUUUUUGCUAAUUGAGAUUAAAUUUAAAAAAAUUU
This is a non-coding RNA of Hydra vulgaris (swiftwater hydra), 368 nucleotides long. The record is from RefSeq and is a predicted model, not a curated record. Lineage: Eukaryota; Metazoa; Cnidaria; Hydrozoa; Anthoathecata; Hydridae.